GACGAACGCUGGCGGCGUGCUUAACACAUGCAAGUCGAACGGAAAGGCCCUGCUUUUGUGGGGUGCUCGAGUGGCGAACGGGUGAGUAACACGUGAGUAACCUGCCCUUGACUGUGGGAUAACUUCAGGAAACUGGGGCUAAUACCGGAUAGGAGCUCCUGCUGCAUGGGGGGGGUUGGAAAGUUUCGGCGGUUGGGGAUGGACUGGCGGCUUAUCAGCUGGUUGGUGGGGUAGUGGCUUACCAAGGCUUUGAAGGGUAGCCGGCAUGGGAGGGUGACCGGCCACAUUGGGACUGAGAUACGGCGCAGACUCCUACGGGAGGCAGCAGUGGGGAAUAUUGCACAAUGGGCGGAAGCCUGAUGCAGCAACGCCGCGUGCGGGAUGACGGCCUUCGGGUUGUAAACCGCUUUCGCCUGUGACGAAGCGUGAGUGACGGUAAUGGGUAAAGAAGCACCGGCUAACUACGUG
Molecule: ribosomal RNA, 468 nt
Filed under: uncultured bacterium
Lineage: Bacteria
Description: partial 16S ribosomal RNA
Rfam family: Bacterial small subunit ribosomal RNA
Source: RNAcentral